GUAAGGAUGCGUAGGCGGAUAAUCAAGUCAAAAGUGAAAUCCCACGGUUAAGCCGUGGAACUGCUUUCGAAACUGGUUAUCUAGAAUAUGGAAGAGGCAGAUGGAAUUAGUGGUGUAGGGGUAAAAUCCGUAGAGAUCACUAGGAAUACCGAUUGCGAAGGCGAUCUGCUGGGACAUUAUUGACGCUGAGGCAUGAAAGCGUGGGGAGCAAACAGGAUUAGAUACCCUGGUAGUCCACGCCCUAAACGAUGUACACUAGUUGUUGCGAUGCUCGUCAUUGCAGUAAUACAGUUAACACAUUAAGUGUACCGCCUGGGGAGUACGGUCGCAAGAUUAAAACUCAAAGGAAUAGACGGGGACCUGCACAAGCGGUGGAGCAUGUGGUUUAAUUCGAAGAUACGCGAAGAACCUUACCUAGACUUGAAAUCCUUGGAAUCUUUCAGAGAUGAGAGAGUGCUAGUUUACUAGAACCAAGUGACAGGUGCUGCACGGCUGUCGUCAGCUCGUGUCGUGAGAUGUUGGGUUAAGUCCCGCAACGAGCGCAACCCUCGUGAUUAGUUGCUAACAGUUCGGCUGAGCACUCUAAUCAGACUGCCUUCGUAAGGAGGAGGAAGGUGAGGACGACGUCAAGUCAUCAUGGCCCUUAUGUCUAGGGCUACACACGUGCUACAAUGGUUGGGACAAAGAGCAGCGAUACCGCGAGGUGGAGCAAAUCUUAAAACCCAAUCUCAGUUCGGAUAGGAGUCUGCAACUCGACUCCUUGAAGCUGGAAUCGCUAGUAAUCGUAGAUCAGCAAUGCUACGGUGAAUACGUU
Molecule: ribosomal RNA, 814 nt
Filed under: uncultured bacterium
Lineage: Bacteria
Description: bacterial SSU rRNA
Rfam family: Bacterial small subunit ribosomal RNA
Source: RNAcentral